GUUUUACGAUAAUAUUUGAUAAAUAUAUUAAUAAUAAUCGCGUUUGUUUUCUUAUCUAUUUUACGUUCAUUCAUAUUACGGGCAUGCCAAAAUUUGAUGUAUGGUAUUAUAGGAUGUAUAUAAAUAUAAUGCGUCUAUGUGAUUAUUCCGCAACAAGAUAUAUGAUAAUUGAAGACAAAAUUGAGAAUUUUUCUUAUAAUACUACUGACGUAUUCGACGAGAGAGAAAAGCUGUUCCACUUAAUUAUUUGUUAUCGUCAUAUUAGCUCUCUUAAUCAUUUACAUAUAUAUGUAUAUAUAUAUAUAUAGAUAUAUUAAGUAUCGAGAGAAUCAUGAUUAUGAGGUAGAUAUCAUCAUCUUCAAUAUAAAUUAGGCUUCUAUUCGUAACGAUUCGGUUUUUCGAAGUUUACGAACUUAAACAUUACGCACGUGUGUUUAUUCGGAAUAAAUUGAGUAUCAAAAAUGAAAGAUAUGAUACCAAGGUGAUACGAAGGGUACAGAUGUGCAUGAUUUUUACAGUAAAUAGGAUAACUGUUAUCCUUCUCAUCAUUUUAAUUAAGAAUUAUUUAAUUCAUUUAUAUCGUCAAAAUUUUAUUUUUUAACGGUAUAAAGAGACAGCUUCAAUAAGAAUAUUUAUUAAGUGCAAUUUAAUCUAGGGGUUUUUUUUCAAAGAAAACGUUAUCUUUUUGACGCCACGAUAAAAUAUUUCAGUGAUAAAGGCCGCGGAAAAAACAAUCCGAACAGUUAUUUCUAAGCUAUUUAUAUCAUUUCUUUAAGUAUUAAAAAGAGUUAAUGGAUUAAUUGAAAUGGAUUAAAGUUAAAAUCGUGACACAGAUUCAAGCUCCACAGAAAAUAUAAUAAUAAUAAACAUGUGAUAAUUCCAAUACGUACGUAAAUGAGAUCGAUCAACCAAUCAAAUCUAUCAGGAAUCGUAUUACCUCGUCAGAAAUCGGUAAAUUUUUUAAUAACUCCUUUAUAAUAAUUGUUUUAACUUCCCCCCCCCCCUCCCCUUCGUAAAAUUUAAUACGGAGUAUUAAGUACGGAGUAAAAGAAAAAAAG
Long non-coding RNA from Vespa mandarinia (Asian giant hornet), 1058 nucleotides. The record is from RefSeq and is a predicted model, not a curated record. NCBI's taxonomy places the organism in Eukaryota, Metazoa, Arthropoda, Insecta, Hymenoptera, Vespidae.